Pseudophryne corroboree (corroboree frog) is the source of this 3133-nucleotide long non-coding RNA. RefSeq lists it as uncharacterized. The transcript has 3 exons. The record is from RefSeq and is a predicted model, not a curated record. Lineage: Eukaryota; Metazoa; Chordata; Amphibia; Anura; Myobatrachidae.
CUUUGAUUAGCCGUCAGCUGAAUGAUGUUGUCCCGUCCGUGCGGCUGAAGAAUGAAUAGCGGCUGGCGGUUGUAAUUGCCGGCUGGCUGACUUGCUGGUUCCCCGUACGUAGUGCACGCUAUAGUGCAAUGAAUUUCGUGCAAAUCAGGGGUUCCUGUGUUGGCUAAUCAAAGCCGCCAGCCGCCAGUCAGCCGCUAUCCACCUUUUAGCAGCACGGACGGGGAGACAUCAGUUAGCUGGCAGCUAAUCAAAGCCGCCAGCCGGCCGCUAGCCGCUCAGCUGAUAAUUAAACAACAGCAAGACCACUAUUACCCGUGGAAAAAGAAAACAGUUACGUGCGCACUGAAUAUCUGGACUUCUGCUAUAUAGGGUUCUGUACAUUUGUUUGUAGUCCGUUGCCUUGGUGAUGGUGUUGACAUGCCGUUGUGCCGCCAGUGGGUGAUGAUGUCACAUCCAACACCGGCGACCGGGUGAGCGGUCCUGGAUGGGCAAGUGGGAAUACACAUGUGGUGCACCGGUAUAAAGAUGACAGCUGUGGCAGACACCCUCCCGGAUGGAUUCCCUCCUCCCCACAGAAGGUUGCUGGUUAGGUCCAGCAUUCUGGGGUCCGCAACAUUCUGGUUUUGGCCCAAUCCUAGAGAGAUAUGGAUUUCCCGUCGCUUGGAGGUGAUAUCAUCUACGCAAAAAGAGACAGCACCGAAUCAAGAAUAACUCUGGUUGGAGCUGCAGUGUGAAAGGGAUCUGUCCCGGAUUGAAACCACGUUCCAAAUCCCAGGUCGGAAGCGGGAUUUUGGUGGAAAAGGGGUAUUGCUAAAGUUAGUCUCCUUGCUAGUGCCUAUCAUUCCAAACUAUUCCCAUGCUUUCUUUAAGCUCUCCCUUAUUUUCCCAGUUACAGACACUAGGCAUACACUCAGUAUAUAUGCAGUUACUACACUACACAAGUGUCACUAUCAUUCUAAAACUCUUCUAUUUAAUCACAACUCAGCUUCUAUUGACUACAUCACAUCAUCUUUAUCACUGCCCUGACUUUCUUUAUCACAGCUCUUCUUAUCUAUAUUUAUCACAGAUCUGCAUCUCUUAGAAUUAUUACUGCCCUCACUCAUCCUUCACACCCCUGCAGCACUUCCCCUCAGACUUUUGGGCUUCCCUCAGCCCUCCCUCACUUAGGGCAUUUCCCCCCUUUUUCUCGAUUAUAAGGUUUCAUGUUUUAUUUAGUUUAUUCCACUAGGAAUAGUAAUCAAUCAUUUAUUGAAAAUGACUACGGUAAGGCUUUUUUUUUUGCAAGAGAAACUUGUACUCUCUUACUUUUCUGCCUUUUUUUUUACACUUUAUUAUCUACUGUACCUUAGUUCCAUGGAAUCCAGGGAGGCCAAUAUCACCUUUUGGUCCUCUUGGUCCCUUGGAGAUGUGAAACAAAUUAGAAUAAUGUAACAUGACUGAUGUAAUAAGUGGAAAGAGACCAUUUAUUUUAUUUAUUUAUUUAUUUAUUUGCUCCUCUAAAAACUAAAAUACACUGGAAUUUAAUGGGUAGCACGUAUAUACAUAAAAAAAAUAAUAAUUAAAGCUACAUCUAUUUUAAUUGUUUUGAUACUAGAGCAAUUUAACUUUUGGUUAUAAUAUUAAGUGAGCUCAUAACUUAACCUCAGUCUAUUCAGUGAGUCGAUGAUCUAAAACAGCAAGCAAUUACUGUGCCACUCUAUGGUGAAUAGCCUUAUUUACAGGUCAUUCUGCUAAUUUGUUUAGAUUCUGAAAAUUGAGUUUAUUUAUAUGUAAUAAUAAUUUAUACUAUUCAUACCAAAUUCAAAAAAGUGCAGACCAGCUGUUCUCUAAUGGAAAGCAAUGUGCGCAAUUUACCUACAGUAUUUUGAUCAACCAUUGACCCAUUGACUAUUUAUUGAAAAUUUAUAAAACUUUCACUGAUGGGCGCAAGAAAUAGUUUGUUGUUACUGUCAGUUUUGGGGGCUAUACCCAAGAAACAAGAAGAGACAGAAUUAAUAUGUUGAUUAAUAUCCUACUAAAGUAUGGUCUAUGCAGUACUGAUUUCUUCUAAAGCUAAUAAAAGGCUUUCCUGUACCAAAUGCAUAAAUAUGCCACUAGCUUGAUUACAUUCUUGCUGUAAGCUGAAAAUUCUAAUAAACUUACAGACAUGAAUGAUUUUCAUUGACAAAGCCCUAAAUAACUGAUCCAGCUUACUAAACCACUUUAUGAAGUUGAACUUGUGAGAGGGGUCAUACAUUACUAUAUAAAGCACACUCAGGGUUGCAUUUCAGGGCAAAUAUAGCAUGCACUUUUAUAGAAAAUAAGAUAACCACACUCUAGUUUAGUAACCACACUCUAGUAACCUAAACAGUACUAAACUAUGUAGCGGACUGUCAGGAAACCGCAAUAAUAUUGUCACAGCUUCCACAAGUUUACACUGGUAUGCUUACUUGUGGUCCAGAUCGUUGCAGAAUGUCAGACAUAUUUAACAGUCCCUCUGUGUCGUUCAGUAGUAGCUAAUCAGAAAUAAAAACAGUCAAUGCAAUGUAUACAUUACUACAUUAAAAACAUUAUUAGCUUAAUAGUGGUUUAGACUAAAAGUGCAUAUUUACUUACAGAAAAUAAAGAGUGAUAUCAAACAUCUGAUUUAAAGGCGAAAUAUUACUAUAACUUGUUUCAAGACCUUUCCAGAGAUAACUUAAUUAGUACGGUGAAACUCAGACUGUGCAAAUACUACCUUAGGGAGCGCGAUCUGGACAGUCACUGAGUGUGUGGCGAUGAGACAUCACUGCGGGUGAUAUGAUGAGACCCGUCUGUGGCUUUAAGUUAAGUUUGGCCUGUUAUAUUUUAUACACAUGUUGAGUGCACAUUUUGUGGGUCUGUAUGGUGUUACUAUGGUAUUUAACAAGGCAGGAUGGGAUUUAAUAAAUGUUCCUGUUGGAUUGCAGAAGCGCUGUAUUGGUGCCAUUCUUUUGAUGCAUAUGGGUAUAUAUAGGAACCAGGCAGGCAUGACAAUGUUUACUACUGGGACCUAGUGAUAGAUGCACUUGCUGCUGCACUGUUGUGCCUCCUGAUGAAGGUCUGAUAUGACCGAAAACGUUUGAGAUGAUGUGGUACUGAUGAACAUGAUGGAAUAAAUCCUUUAUAUAUAUGA